AGUGAACGCUGGCGGUAGGCCUAACACAUGCAAGUCGAACGGCAGCACAGUAAGAGCUUGCUCUUACGGGUGGCGAGUGGCGGACGGGUGAGGAAUACAUCGGAAUCUACUUUUUCGUGGGGGAUAACGUAGGGAAACUUACGCUAAUACCGCAUACGACCUACGGGUGAAAGCAGGGGAUCUUCGGACCAUGCGGGAUUGAAUGAGCGGAUGUCGGAUUAGCUAGUUGGCGGGGUAAAGGCCCACCAAGGCGAGGAUCGGUAGCUGGUCUGAGAGGAUGAUCAGCCACACUGGAGCUGAGACACGGCCCAGACUCCUACGGGAGGCAGCAGUGGGGAAUAUUGGACAAUGGGCGCAAGCCUGAUCCAGCCAUACCGCGUGGGUGAAGAAGGCCUUCGGGUUGUAAAGCCCUUUUGUUGGGAAAGAAAAGCAGCAGGUUAAUACCCCGCUGUUCUGACGGUACCCAAAGAAUAGGCACCGGCUAACUUCGUG
Molecule: ribosomal RNA, 492 nt
Filed under: uncultured bacterium
Lineage: Bacteria
Description: partial 16S ribosomal RNA
Rfam family: Bacterial small subunit ribosomal RNA
Source: RNAcentral